Aethina tumida (small hive beetle) is the source of this 983-nucleotide long non-coding RNA. RefSeq lists it as uncharacterized. The record is from RefSeq and is a predicted model, not a curated record. NCBI's taxonomy places the organism in Eukaryota, Metazoa, Arthropoda, Insecta, Coleoptera, Nitidulidae. The transcript has 2 exons.
AUCAUAACUUCAAUAUAAAAUUAGACUGAACUCAAUUAACAAUCAUUGAAAUUUACCUAAAAUUUCAAAUUAUUUAUUUAAUUAUUAAUUAAUUAAUUUCAAAUUUAAAUUCAUGUUUCGUUGGCAUCAAAUUUGUUAUUUUCAAUGGAGAAUCCCAUAUAUUAUUGUAUUUUUAAAUUCUAUAUGUAAUUGAAAAUAAAAUGACUAUAUCAUGUCCUAUAUCUAAACUCAGUAGUUUUGAGUUAUGGAGUAAUUAAAAUUAUCGUAAUUCCUCCAAUUUUGAUGAACCAUAGUUUAUUUUUGGCACACACGUUAAUCAAGGAUCAUCCUAUAAUGAACCAAUAUUAGUACUAACAAAUUUUAUUCAGGGUGUUCGUUAUUUACGUUUAUUUGUCAAUUUAUACCUUUCACCCUUUUUUAAUUUUAAGUAGUUUGUUACAACAACAAAUAAUUCAAAAAUUGGAUGUAGAACGUUUUUAAUAGAUGGUUUAUUUAAUUGUAAAAUCCUAGCCAAGUUACAUUUUAUUUGUAAAACAAAAUUCUGGUACAAUAUACAAUACAUUUACAAUAAAAUACCUCAAGCACAAAUAUGAGAAUGUAUAUAAAAAUUUACAAAUUACAACACUUGAAUAGGUGUACUAAAUUAUAAUAAAAAUGUGUGUGUUUUUUUAUUCUGUACAUACUAAAAUUGACACAAUUUAUUAUAACAUUAACGUUUUAAAAAAUUGUUAAUAAUUAACAAAUGAAACAUUCACUAACGUUACAAAUAUUUGCGACAAUACACAGUUUUAUGAGCCUUACAAAUUGUUAGUUUGGUUUUGGUACCAAUUUCUGUUGGUCCUCCUUUCUCUGUUAAUUAAUGAUUAACUUACAAUAAAAAAUGUCUCAGAUUUUUUUGUUCUAUACAUGCUAAAAAUGACAUAAUUUAUCAUAACAUCAAUAUAAAAUUAAAAUUCCAAUUAAUAAAACGUAGGAUAAUAAUU